This 773-nucleotide ribosomal RNA is filed under the name Neodevriesia coryneliae. RNAcentral's name for it is "eukaryotic LSU rRNA". It matches the Rfam family "Eukaryotic large subunit ribosomal RNA", at positions 95 to 894 of the family's 3401-position model. Lineage: Eukaryota; Fungi; Ascomycota; Dothideomycetes; Mycosphaerellales; Neodevriesiaceae. The record is from RNAcentral.
GAAGCGGCAACAGCUCAAAUUUGAAAUCUGGCGCAAGCCCGAGUUGUAAUUUGGAGAGGAUGCUUCUGGGCAGCGGCCGGUCUAAGUUCCUUGGAACAGGACGUCAUAGAGGGUGAGAAUCCCGUAUGUGACCGGCUGGCACCCUCCACGUAGCUCCUUCGACGAGUCGAGUUGUUUGGGAAUGCAGCUCUAAAUGGGAGGUAAAUUUCUUCUAAAGCUAAAUACCGGCCAGAGACCGAUAGCGCACAAGUAGAGUGAUCGAAAGAUGAAAAGCACUUUGGAAAGAGAGUUAAAAAGCACGUGAAAUUGUUGAAAGGGAAGCGCUUGCAACCAGACUUGUGGGCGGCGUUCCGCCGGUCUUCUGACCGGUCCACUCGCCGCCGACAGGCCAGCAUCAUCUGGGGCCGCCGGACAAAGGCUUGGGGAAUGUAGCUCCCUUCGGGGAGUGUUAUAGCCCCUCGCACAAUACGGCGCGCCCCGGGUGAGGUCCGCGUCUCGGCAAGGAUGCUGGCGUAAUGGUUGUAAGCGGCCCGUCUUGAAACACGGACCAAGGAGUCGAUUAUCUAUGCGAGUGUUCGGGCGUCAAACCCCUACGCGGAAUGAAAGUGAACGGAGGUGGGAACCCUUACCGGUGCACCAUCGACCGAUCCGGAUGUCUUCGGAUGGAUUUGAGUAAGAGCAUAGCUAAUCGGACCCGAAAGAUGGUGAACUAUGCCUGAAUAGGGUGAAGCCAGAGGAAACUCUGGUGGAGGCUCGCAGCGGUUCUGACGUGC